UGGAGACGGUGGCGAAGCUCUGGCUGGCCGACUACAUCCUCUGCUCUUCUCCUUCUUCUGCUUUCCUUUGUUUCCUUUUGAUUCUGUGCCCGUAUACUUCAGUCUUCCUGCAGCUCCUGGGAUGAUGAAGGAAACAAUAAUGAAGAGCCGGUUUACUGUGAUGUUCUUUGAAUGAAUACUGGUCUUUCUUUUGUUUGCAGGGACCUCCUCCUCUCAGUCUCUUCCCCUCCGUUCGUCUGCUGUUCCUUUUCUUUUUGUUUUCUCAGUCCUUGCGAUGAAGAACAGAGGACGUUGCUGGUUUCUCCUUUCGAAAUUGGGUCUCGUUCUUUGCUCUGUUUGUGGCUUGCGUUUUAUUGGUUCUUGACUCUGUAUUUCUGGGUUGAAUCUUCAGCCUUGGUUCUGUAUUUUUGGGUUGUGUUUGCGUUGUUCCGGCGACUUUUUUCUGGGUUUUUUGUAUCGGGUUUUCUUAUGCAGGGACGUCUGCAGAGAUGAAGGCAAUAGCGGGAACAAUUCUCUGUGUAUACUGGAUUCCCUUCCUCUCCUUCUCUCUGUGUAUUAUUUCUUUGCUCUGGGGUUUUUGCUUUUGUUUUGGCUCCAAUUUUUCUGGGUUUGAUUGCUCUGCCUCCUCUGAUUUUUGGCCCCCCUCCAUGGUUUCUGGGUUUUCUUCUCCCUUUUAUAGAGAAGCCAGCCCUGCAACCAGUCCUGUCUUUGCAGGACUGUGUUAUGGAAUCCAUGAAAAAGAUUAUCGGCAAGAGACGUGGUCCAAGAUCAGAUUUGUUGCAGAUUAUCAGCUCCCCUGCUGAAUCGGAAGCUCUCCUGUUGAAUCGGGAUGGAGAAGACGCACGGCUGUUCCUUAGCAACGGUGCCGUUUUGGCUGGAAAACGGGAGUUUUCAAUUUGACCCCUGAACUUGGGAAAUUCGGCAAUUGGACCCCUAAGCUAAUUAAAAUUUUCUUUUAAUUUUUCCCUCUUUGGAUUAAUUACAUUUAAAUCCCUAAAUUGGUACACUGUUUACAAAACAGUCCUUAAUUCCUGGAUUAUUCAAUUAGGUGCUUAAUUCUUUCAAAAUUGAUCAAUUAACUCUCAAAUUACAUCCCUAAACUUCAAAAUUUGUUGUCUUAACCCCAUUGUCUACUAUAUUUAAUUUUUAUUAUUUGUUCAAAAAUUGGGUUAUGACAGUUGCCCCCUCUUUAUAAUAUUUACAAUACCAAGAUAUUGGAAAAUUUCAUUUUCCUUAACUUUGUAUAGUAAAUUUAUAAAGAAAAGUAGAUACGAAAAAGGAGUCUUGAAAACUUCGAAAACAGUCGAUUGGCACAUAACUUUUACAAAGAGAACAAGUCAUUUGGAAGACAACCCAUUUUUUUUUUUUUUUUGUUUAUUAUUAUUAUUAUUUUGUGAUGGUAUAUUGUAAUGGGUUACCGGCCCAAAUGGUCACAUUGUAAUGGGUUACCUGCCCAGUAUAGGAUGGUAUAUUGUGAUGGGUUAGUGGUCACAUUGUAAUGGGUUACCUGCCCAGUAUAGGAUGGUAUAUUGUAAUGGGUUACCGACCCAGUUGGUAUAUUGUAACGGGUUACCAGCCCAGGUGGUCACAUUGUAAUGGGUUACCUGCCUAGUUGGUCACAUUGUAAUGGGUUACCUGCCCAGUUGGUAUGUUGUAAUGGGUUACCUGCCCAGUUGGUCACAUUGUAAUGGGUUACCUGCCCAGUUGGUAGAUUGUAAUGGGUUACCAGCCCAGAUGGUCACAUUGUAAUGGGUUACCAGCCCAGUUGGUCACAUUGUAAUGGGUUACCUACCCAGUUGGUAUGUUGUAAUGGGUUACCUGCCCAGUUGGUCACAUUGUAAUGGGUUACCUGCCCAGUUGGUAUGUUGUAAUGGGUUACCUGCCCAGUUGGUAAAAUACAAGGAAUUUUUUUUUUAAUAAGACGAGGGCUCGAAGGCGCGCUCGAAUGGAGAUAAGACGAGGGCUCGAAGGCGCGCUCGAAUGGAGAUAAGACGAGGGCUCGAAGGCGCGCUCGAAAAUAAAUAAGACGAGGGCUAGAAGGCGCGCUCGAAUGGAGGUAGGAUAGAAAAUGCACUACCUAUGAUGGUCGAGGGCUCGAAGGCGCGCUCGAAAAAUCAGACGAGGGCUCAAAGGCGCGCUCGAAAAGAACUCAGACGAGGGCUCGAAGGCGCGCUCGAAUGGAGGUAAGACGAGGGCUCAAGGCGUGCUCGAAUGGAGGUAGGAUAGAAAAUGCACUACCUUUGAUGGUCGAGGGCUCGAAGGCGCGCUCGAAUGGAGGUAGGGAAUGUUUUGAUGGUCGAGGGCUCGAAGGCGCGCUCGAAAAGAAUAGACGAGGGCUCAAGGCACGCUCGAACUGAGAGGGCUCGGGCGCUCGAAUGGAGGUAAGACGAGGGCUCAAGGCGCGCUCGAAUGGAGGUAGGAUAGAAAAUGCACUACCUUUGAUGGUCGAGGGCUCGAAGGCGCGCUCGAAAAUAAAUAAGACGAGGGCUCGAAGGCGCGCUCGAAUGGAGGUAGAAGAAAUGCACUACCUUUGAUGGUCGAGGGCUCGAAGGCGCGCUCAAAUGACGAGGUCGGUCGAAUGUAAGACGAGGGCUCGAAGGCGCGCUCGAAUGGAGGUAGGAUAGAAAAUGCACUACCUCAGGUGUGGAAACUGAAAGGUGGUGAAAAAAUACAGAGAUUUUUCUGGUGGCCUAAUUCUCAUGGGCGGCCUGCCCAGGUUGAAAAAUUUCAAAAAUGAAAAUUUUCAACAGCAAUUUUGAUCUUUGGCCAUUUCAAGUUGGCCUUCCUUGAUGGAUUUUUGGAAUUUUCUCAUAUGAAAUUUGCAAAACUCAUUGUCCAAUGUCUCAAAGUUUAAAUGAUAUGCAUGCAUCUUUACCUGAUUUGAAAUAUAGGCCCCCAUUUCUUCUAGUCUUCUUGUUGCUUGGUUGGUGAGAUCUUGCUAUCUGAUUUGAGUCAUCUUUGUCGUUUAGCUUUUAGCCCACUCGAGUUGGCCCAUGUAAGUCUAUUUCCAAAUUUGUUUGCACAACUCAGCAUUUGGGUGCCCAUCGUGACCCACUUGCUUGCUAAAGAUUUUCUGAUUCGUCAAAUAAUUUGAGAGGAUUAUUCAUUACCCUCGUUCACUGCUAAAACAUUCGGUGUCACUUGCUGAAAGGAUCGAGCUGUCUUUUGUAAACCAAAAUGCCCCCUUGUCUGGUUGAAGGAAAUUACCAUAUCUCCUUUUCUAGAAUUUUCCUUCUAAACACAAUGUUGCCCCUUGUAUUGGUUAUUGCCCCUAAGUGUGCUUUGUCAGCGACUUAGAUAAAUAAAGGUUUUAAGAGGCCAUUCUCUCAUUUCUCUCCUUUUCAGUUUGGUGAGGAAUAUGGGUCUAGAAUGAAUCUUGAAAUCUUGAUCUUGCAUUUUGAAAACAAAAAUUAUUUCGAUGUGAGUCAAUAACAAUUUGCUUUUGAAAUCUUGCAACUCCUUGGUUAUUUUCUUUCUGGAAAAGAGAUUAUUUGCUCUUGUGUUUGGUAACGAGGUCUUCGGUGAAAAUAUCAUGAGAUGACCUUUUUUUUGAAGUGAAGGGCUCGAGAAAAAGCUCGAGGUUUUGUAUGAGAAAAACUUGUCUCUUUUUGAACAUUUAUUUUUAUCAGCAUGAAUAAUAAUGAGUAGUUUAUUCUUGAUGUCAUGAAUCUUAUGAAAAAGUAUUCUUUGCAUUUUGAGAGCAUUGUUUAUUGUUCUAGAUUGCUUGCUUGCUUGAUUAGAAAGGACUUCUACAGGCACGUAACAUAGGUUGUGGUUUUUGGCUAUGAAAGAAAAGGAUUCAUAAGGCUCAAAGAGUGUUUCAGGGUUUCAAAGACUGAAGAUCACGAUCAAUAGUUUGACUUUUGACGUCAUUCAUAUUUUCCUUUGCCGCUCUUCUUUGAUUUGCCCCUUUUUUUCUUUUUCAUUGCUCCGCUAGAGCAUACUCACUUUAUCUUGGUUAUCACUUUUUCUUGUGAUAUGGGCAUGCCCCCUAGUAUUUGAGUUUCUUGGGCUCUUUUGCCUUUUGGCUUUCUCACGGCUUUAUCCUCUUUCUUGAUCAUUGAAAUUUCACUUGCCCCCUUUUUUGUGAUGUGGGCAUGAUCCCUAGCAUUUGAGUUUCUUGGGCUCUUUUGCCUUUUGGCUUUCUCACGGCUUUAUCAUCCUUCUUGAUCAUUGAAAUUUCACUUGCCCCUAGUGUAGGGUGUGAUCUUAGUCGGGAUUUUUUAUGAAAGAAAAAUUAUUCAGGCUCAAAAAGGGUUUGCAAGGGAUGUACUUAUUUUAGAACGUGAAAGGAAUAGCAAAGAUGGCCUUUCCUCAUUUCAAGCGCAAGCAGCUAUGAUCAAUAAACUUUGACCUCGUAUAGUGUGAUGGUUUAUUCUUUGCAAAGAUGCAUUUCAUAAGUUAUGAGCAACAAGUUCACUACAUACCAUUAUUCAUACAUUUAAAAACACAUGAUUCAAGAGUAAUGGGGUAAGGGUGUUUAUUCUUUUUUUUUUUACAAUUGUUUUCUAAUUUAGUCACUCAAUAUGAUGGAGUUGCUUGAUUCACUUGUCAUUCUACAAGUAGAAUGUCAAAAAUAUCGUUUUUGAAUAAACAUCAAAUUAUUUUUUGAAAUCAAAAUGCCAGAUCAAUUUUUUUCAAAACUCCAAUAGGGAAACUGAUUUUUGGUAAAAGAGAUGAAUUGCGUCUAUGAGAUCGCACAAGGCUUCAAAGAUGUGUUUGUGAAUCUUUAUAAGAAAACUCUCUCAGAAAAAAUGAAUAAUGCUAAUCGUAAACACGAUUGAAUGACAAACUCAUUAUUUUCAUUGAAACUUUAGAAAAUAAGUUCAACAAGAAAGAACUUAUGACAACAUCUUGGGCUAUGAAUACUGGCAUGAUAACAUAUAAAGGGCUAAACAUUUAGCGAUCAUUGAUUGGAAUUUCUGGAAUCUUUCAAUCAUUCAUUCUCCUCGACAAGGGCAUCUUUUCAACAGUCAAUUGAAAUCAAAUGUAGAUAUUCUCGACCUAAUAUCACCAUAGCUUUAUCUUCAAGAUAGUUGAUUUCUAGGAGUCGAUGUGAAGCAAUUAGCUAUAGAAAUGAUAAGUGUCUUGGCAACCACCUUCAGUGAAACCGUUCUUCUCAGUCGGGUUAGCAAUCUUACCUAACCCAAUGGCUUGUUCAAUCCUCUCAGCUAUAACAACCAGGUCAGUGAAAUGUUGUGCAGAGCUUCUAACCAAGUAUUCAAAGUACGGAGCUUUAAAGGUGUCGGAAAAUAAAGUGAUCAUCUCUUUUUCCAACAUGGGAGGGUUAACUUGUGCAGCUAACUCACUCCAUCUCCGGGCGUAUUCUCUUAUGGACUCCUUGUUGUCCUUCUCCAUAGCUUGCAAGCUUAAACGAUCAGGUCCCACGUCGAUAUUGAACUUAUAUUGCCUCAUGAAGGCAUCAACUAAAUCCUUCCAUUUUUUAACCUUGGUAUUGUCCAACCGUAUACCAAGUGAGGGCAACAUUACUCAGACUGUCUUGAAAGAAAUGAAUCAGCAGUUUCUCAUCAUGAACCACCUCAGCCAUUUUGUUGCAGUAUGCUUUGAGAUGAGUUAGGGCAUUGAGUUCCCGUAUAUUUAACAAAUUCUGGCACUCUAAAUUUUUGGAAUGACACGUUGGGCACCAAACACAUCUCAGCAGCCUUUAUAGGAUCAUAUAGGUGAAUUCCCUCAAAUGCCCUCAUCCUUUGUUCUAGGGCAAUGAAUUUGUUCAGCUCAUCUUCUUUUACCAUUUUGCCCUUUUGAGAUUCAUUCUCUGUAGAAUCAAUGGUAAACGACAUUCUCGUGGGGUAUGCUGGAUGAAAAUGCAUGGCUUGUUGAAAAUCAGAUGACAACCCAUUUGCCCCCAGAUUCUGUAGAUUGAAGGAUUUACAAGCAUAGGUUCAGGCUGAGCUGUAAGUGUUGCUUUUCCGGAUUUAUCUCUCAAGGCCUGCUCGAGUAGACUAGUAAGCCUUGCGACUUCUUCUUUAAGAUUGUCCACCUCUUUUUGAUGUUGGGCUUCCAACUGGGCUCUUUCUUCGUUUUCCAUUUGUCUUUUCUCGAAAGGGUUUAUUAUAUGUAGGUUUCAAAUGGGAACCUAUAUUUCAACCUGUAAAUGUAAAUCAUGCAAUUUAUGCAAAAAUGUUGAUUCAAUUAAAAAUGCGUAUGGAAUGCAGACACGUCCUUCACGGGAUGACAACCUAAUAGGAAGAUCCUAAUUGUUGAGUGCAUCAAAGGGUUGGUCAUUAUCUAGUUUCAAAGGGUCUCUCGCAUGCUCAGUGAUCGUCCAUGAAAGGUCGAUAUAGGCUUACAAGUAGUGUGAAAAUAGAGGCCCUGAGUAAUAUCAGUUUGGCAUAUCAACCACUUCCAAGUAAACAAUCAAGCGAGAGUUGGAUGGUUUCACGAGUCUUACCCAGGCUAAAGCCAUUGGGGUACCGUUACUCCCCCACUUAUCUUAAGUUGUAACGUGUGUGCUCUUAACGUGAUGCAUGAUAAUAUAAACAAGGAUGCAUGCUAAAGCAGUAAAAUGCAGGAAAAAAUAAACAAAUAAACACAACGUAACAAACAUUAUAGCAAUUUACAAACAAAAAGCAAAGCUUAGUCCAUUAGUCCCCAGCGGAGUCGCCAUUCUGUCGCAUCUAACAUCGUGGCGUCCCUAAAAAAUUAAUUUAAAAAUCUUUGGAAAGAACGGAUUUCUGGCAUCCUGUUCUUUGAUGGGAAUAUUCUUGUUUAAGGAGUCGCCACCUAGUAUUAUGGUCACUAGGAACCCUAACUAGUCAACAGAGAUUCUAUGGUUCGGGACUGGUUACGUAAAAGGGAAGAUAUUAUCACCCUUUAAACGUCCUGCCUGAGGCAGACUGCAUUGCUCGUUUCGUCUUAAAUUGCUAAAUGUUUUUUUUUUUUUUAUGUUAUGAAAAUUUGCUUACAAUAUUCCUGACUCUGGCGCCAGUGAAUAUUAACUACAAAUAUUUCCAACUCUAGCGUUGAUAAAUAUUACGUAGCUAAAAAAAAACAAAUUUAAAUCAAUAUUUUUUAUUACUGACUUUGGCAUCAGUAAAUAAACAAAUAAAAUAAAUUUAUUUUUACGCAUGCACAUUUUUUAUUAAAUGAAAAUAAAAUACAAUGAAUAAUAUAAAUUUAAAUCAGUAUUUUUAUUCCUGACUCUGGCGUCAGUGAAUAAACCAAAAAAUUUAUAUUAUUUUUUUCUUGCUAAAUAAAAAUAAAAUACAAUGAAUAAUAUAAAUUUAAACUGGUAUUUUCAUUCCUGACUCUGACGUCAGUGAAUAAACCAAUAAAUUUAUAUUAUUAUUUUUUUCAUGCAUACAUAUUUUUCUUAUUUUUAUUUUUCUGCCUUUUAUUUUAUUUUAUUUUAUUUUUUAUUUUUCGCUACCUCUUUUUUAUUUUUCUGUUUUUUUUUUUUUUAGGCCCAGCCCGGCCACUGGCCCAAGCCAGUGGCCCGGCCGGGCUCAGCAGCACUGUGCAAGUGAAUUAAAAUUCACUUCCACAGUGUAAGAGAUGCUUAAUUGAAAAGGAGAGCUUCUUACCUGGUCUGCGAGGCAAUGGAGACGGUGGCGAAGCUCUGGCUGGCCGACUACAUCCUCUGCUCUUCUCCUUCUUCUGCUUUCCUUUGUUUCCUUUUGAUUCUGUGCCCGUAUACUUCAGUCUUCCUGCAGCUCCUGGGAUGAUGAAGGAAACAAUAAUGAAGAGCCGGUUUACUGUGAUGUUCUUUGAAUGAAUACUGGUCUUUCUUUUGUUUGCAGGGACCUCCUCCUCUCAGUCUCUUCCCCUACGUUGCUGGUUUCUCCUUUCGAAAUUGGGUCUCGUUCUUUGCUCUGUUUGUGGCUUGCGUUUUAUUGGUUCUUGACUCUGUAUUUCUGGGUUGAAUCUUCAGCCUUGGUUCUGUAUUUUUGGGUUGUGUUUGCGUUGUUCCGGCGACUUUUUUCUGGGUUUUUUGUAUCGGGUUUUCUUAUGCAGGGACGUCUGCAGAGAUGAAGGCAAUAGCGGGAACAAUUCUCUGUGUAUACUGGAUUCCCUUCCUCUCCUUCUCUCUGUGUAUUAUUUCUUUGCUCUGGGGUUUUUGCUUUUGUUUUG
Molecule: long non-coding RNA, 8091 nt
Filed under: Populus tremula
Lineage: Eukaryota; Viridiplantae; Streptophyta; Magnoliopsida; Malpighiales; Salicaceae
Description: long non-coding RNA (PTRE_LNC001445)
Source: RNAcentral